RNAcentral lists this ribosomal RNA (188 nucleotides) under uncultured ammonia-oxidizing bacterium. Its description in RNAcentral is "partial 16S ribosomal RNA". It matches the Rfam family "Bacterial small subunit ribosomal RNA", at positions 306 to 483 of the family's 1533-position model. The record is from RNAcentral.
UUCCCCCGCCGGGCCCCGGGCCCGUCCCGCCGCCCCCGCCCGCCUACGGGAGGCAGCAGUGGGGAAUUUUGGACAAUGGGCGCAAGCCUGAUCCAGCAAUGCCGCGUGAGUGAAGAAGGCCUUCGGGUUGUAAAGCUCUUUCAGUUGAGAAGAAAAGAUUGUGACUAAUAAUUGCAAUUCAAAUGACA